Molecule: long non-coding RNA, 1703 nt
Filed under: Setaria italica (foxtail millet)
Lineage: Eukaryota; Viridiplantae; Streptophyta; Magnoliopsida; Poales; Poaceae
Description: long non-coding RNA (SITA_LNC004001)
Source: RNAcentral
CGCCACGAUCCUUCAUUUCCUUUUUCGCCCCGUCUCCCUUCCUGUCCAAUUGGUCGAUCGGGAUGCGUGGUGUUGUGCUGCUGUCAUCGAGAAUCCUACAAUUCAGGGGGCGAAUCUUGUUAGCUGUAGACAUGUAGUACAACAAGUGCUUAGGGUAUCGUCUUAGGCCGAAUGGAUUGUUUUCUUGUUAUAGCAUAGCGGAUUGGUGACUGUGCGUUAGGUUUAAUUCCACAUGCUUGUAGAAAACCAAGGUGAAGCCACUUCUGGUUAAGCUCAAUUAGCUUCGUGAGAUGCUUUUUUCCUUCUAAUAAAUCUGAUAGAAUUCGAGGACUGUUUGACAAAUGAUCCAUUGGCAACUGUAAAUGCUGUUGAAGUCACAUGUUUUCCCACACCCACACAUCAAAUCGACUAGACGCGAAACUGAAUUAUGAUUCAGCUGGUGUACUUCUGUUUCUUUUGCUGACACCACGUGAUUUCUUUUGACCUAUGAGCCUUUACAAGUCAUAUUUCCGUUAUGCUAUGGUAAUAGGCUUCCGCUUGUUCUUCUGUAGGGCUUUAGGAAAGUUGAUCCUGAACAAUGGGAGUUUGCUAAUGAGGAUUUCAUUAGGGGACAACGGCACCGACUGAAAAAUAUACAUAGGCGUAAGCCUAUAUUCAGCCAUUCAUCACACCCUCAGGGUUCUGGACCAUUAGCAGAUAAUGAGAGGCGGGAAUAUGAGGACGAAAUUGAAAAGCUUAAGCGCGAUAAUGAUGCUCUGACAUUAGAGCUUGAAAAGAAUGCACAAAAGAAAAUUGAUAUGGAGAGACGAAUGCAGGAGCUGGAAGAUAAGUUGAUCUAUUUGGAGGAUCGGCAAAAGAAUCUGAUAGCAUAUGUCAGAGAUAUUGUACAGGCACCAGGAUUUCGCUCUAGCUUUGUGCAGCAACCUGAUCAUCACGGAAAGAAAAGGAGACUACCAGUACCUAUUUCACUCCACCAAGAUGCAAAUGCCGAGGGGAAUCAGAUUGUGCACGGGGGCUUAACAAACCCACCGGUUUGCAUAGAAUCAUUUGACAAAAUGGAGUCUUCCUUGAACUCAUUGGAGAAUUUCUUUCGAGAAGCAAGUGAAGCAUUUGAUAUUUCAUAUGAUGGUGUCCCUGGCCCUUCAUCUGCCGUUGUUAUCACAGAGCUCCAUUCAUCUGGAGAAAGUGAUCCCCAUGUACCAUCGCCUCCGUCAAGGAUGCAUACCUCUUCAGCUGGUGCAGGAGAUUCACCCUCAAGGAUGCAUACCUCUUCAGCUGGUGCAGGAGAUUCGCUCUCUUCUCAUGACGUAACAGAGUCAACUAGCUGCGCAGAAAGUCCUCCCCUCCCUCAAAUGAUGUCCUUUACAGAUUCACGAGCUAAGGUGUCUGAGAUAGAUGUUAAUCUGGAGCCUGCUAUUACAGAAACUGGUCCAUCAAGAGACCAAGCUGCCGAGGACUCUCCUCAUCCAGCACCUGGGGCAAACGACGGGUUCUGGGAGCAGUUUCUUACUGAGCAGCCUGGUUCCAACACGCAUCAGGAGGCCCAAUCAGAAAGGCGAGAUGGAGACAAUAAAGGUGAUCAGGUGAGAAUAGGAGAUCGGGAAAACUUAUGGUGGGGAAAGAAGAAUGUGGAACAGAUGACAGAAAAGCUGGGGCAUCUCACCUCAGCAGAGAAAACCUAACUGCUCGUAUUUCUUGUAGCU